RNAcentral lists this long non-coding RNA (682 nucleotides) under Mus pahari (shrew mouse). RNAcentral's name for it is "lncRNA (MGP_PahariEiJ_G0003796.1)". The record is from RNAcentral. Lineage: Eukaryota; Metazoa; Chordata; Mammalia; Rodentia; Muridae.
GACUGAGCCUCUCCCUGGGGUAACAGGCAGCAAGGAGGGUUUUAAGGAGGACUGUGUGACCAGUCUAGAUGUAAGUCUCAGAGGUAAAGAGGGGCUAUGAGGAAGAAGAGAAGCAUAAGGGAACAGUGGCUUCUGAGUUCACCGUACAAGUGCUCGCUCGGUGCCCCAGGGGAAUCCUGUGGCCAGCUGUGAAGGCAGGAAGAGGAAAAAUCAAGCAUGAAGCCAGCCCCCCAGGGCAGCAGCUGAUGCUGAGCAGAGAGUGACGGACCGCAGCGUACCUGGCCCUGACCCAGGCUCGACACUGCCGGCCACUCACAUCCACCUAUCCAUCCAUCACUCACGUAUACACCCAUUUCUCCCAACUGCUCCUUCUCUUUAAGGAGUUCUCUUUAUGUUAUUUUAGUUUUUUAAGACUGGGUCUCUCUAUGUAGCCUUGGCUCUCCUGGCAGUCUCCAUGCAGAGCAGUCUGGCCUCGAACUCACAGAGAUCUGCCUGCCUUUGCCAACCAAGUGCUGGGGUUAAGGGUGUGUGUCACCAUACCCAGACCAAAGAUUUCUCUUCCCCGUCCCCUGAGCCCCCAGCUCUGAAAGUCUUACACUUGCUAGGUAAUCAAUCAGACCACCACUGAGCUAAAGCCCCAACCCCAAGAUUUCUUUUUUUAUUUAAAAAAAUAUUAAUUUUA